UACGUAGGGAGCAAGCGUUGUCCGGAAUCAUUGGGCGUAAAGCGCGCGUAGGUGGCCAUGUAAGUCCGCUGUGAAAGUCAAAGGCUCAACCUUUGAAAGCCGGUGGAUACUGCAUGGCUAGAGUACGGAAGAGGCGAGUGGAAUUCCUGGUGUAGCGGUGGAAUGCGCAGAUAUCAGGAGGAACACCAAUAGCGAAGGCAGCUCGCUGGGACGUUACUGACACUGAGGCGCGAAAGCGUGGGGAGUGAACAGG
This 253-nucleotide ribosomal RNA is filed under the name uncultured bacterium. RNAcentral's name for it is "partial 16S ribosomal RNA". It matches the Rfam family "Bacterial small subunit ribosomal RNA", at positions 524 to 776 of the family's 1533-position model. The record is from RNAcentral.